AGAAUUCUCUCUUCCCAGUGUCCACUCAAGGGACAGAAUUCUGUACCUUAGGCCAGAAUUUCCUCCAGUUCUUUCCAUCCCUUGGGCAACCUACAUAUCUGUGGCCUAUUCUAGGGGACUGGAAGUGACAGCUGAGACCUGCUUAGUGACGUGACAUCAUGGGAAUUUGAGAGCACAGGCUUUGAGGCUGGCAUGGUGAUAGUAAUUACUGGCCUCAGCAUGACGGGGAGGGUGACUGAGAUAAGCGCCUGGAAAGAGGCUGGCAGGGUGCCGGGCACUUAGAAGGCACCCGGUGUGGUGGAGAUGGUUGGCCUUGUGGAUUGUCCUGUAGUCUGUUAAUUCCUAGGACUGGAAUACUAAUUUUAUGGUUGGGGGAUACUUGAUAGAACUUGUUUCUGCAGGAUGAGAAGGAAAAUGCUCUGCAAAUUUGCAGAGCACUGACUAUAAAAAUUGAGACCAGAGAACUUACUAUAAGCUGGGUACCCUGGGAGGCACUGACAUAUAUCAUCUCACAAUCUUUGCAAACAACUCUAGGGAACGGGACACCCCUGUUACAGAUGAGGAGGCUGAGGAUCAGAGAUGAGCUUGCUCAAGGUCGCUUAGCUAGUAAGUGGUAGAAUUGGGCUUCUGAUCAUUUCUUUUGCUUAAAGAUUUCUUUGAUGUGGGACUAGUUCCUUCCUCUCUGCUAUAUCAUUUCUUUUUCUUUUUCUUUCUUUUUUGUAAUUUUUUUUUUUUUUUGAGAUGUGGUCUUGCUCUGUUGCCCAGGCUGGAAUGCAGUGGCACAAUCACGGCUCACUGCAGCCUCGACCAGCCAGGCUCAAGUGGUCCCCCCACCCCAGCUUCCCAAGUACCUGGGACUACAGGUGCACACCACCAUGUUCAGCUAAUUUUUAAAUUUUUUGUAGAGAAACGGUCUUGUCAUGUUUCCCAGGCUGGUCUUGAACUCUGGGGCGCAAGCAAUCCUCUCUCCUGGGUCUCUCAAAGUGCUGGGAUUACAGGCAUGAAGCACUGUGCCCAGCCUCCUCCAUGUCUUUCUUUCUUUUUUUUUUUUUUUUUUUUUUUUUUUUUUGAGACAGAGUCUUGCUCUGCCACCCAGGCUGGAAUGCAGUGGCGCGAUCUCAGCUCACUGCAGCCUCCGCCUUCCGGGUACAAGUGAUUCUCCUGUCUCAGCCCCCCGAGCAGCUGGGAAUAUAGGUGCCCACCAUCAUGCCCGGCUAAUUUUUGUAUUUUUAGUAGAGACAGGGUUUUGCCAUAUUGGCCAGGCUGGUCUCGAACUCCUGACCUUAGGCGAUCUGCCUGUCUCGUCCUCCCAAAGUGCUGGGAUUACAGGCAUGAGCCACUGCACCUGGCCCCUCCAUGUUUUUCAAGUCUGCUCACAUGAUCCUUCUCAUUAAGGCCUCUGCUGUCCAUCCCAUCCAAGAUUGCAAACCUCUCCUUCCCCCUCCAAACUACCUUGCUCUUGUUCAUUCUAUUUUGAUAGUGCAUCUUGCCUUUUAUUUUAGUUGAUUUUUAUUUUUUGUGGCGGGGCAGAGUCUCACUCUGCUGCCCAGGUGGAGUGCAGUGGCAUGAUCUCAGCUCACUUCAACCUCUGCCUCCUGGGUUCAAGAGAUUCUUGUGCCUCAGCCUCCUGAGUAGCUGGGAUUACAAGCUUGCACCACCAUGCCUGGCUAAUUUUUGUAUUUUUAGGGGAGGCGGGGUUUCACCAUGUUGGCCAGGCUGGUCUCAAACUCUUGGCCUCAAGUGAUCCACCUGCCUCGGCCUCCCAAAGUGCUGGGAUUACAGGCGUGGGCCACUGCGCCCGGCUACAUCUUGCCUUUUAACAAGCCAUGGAAUUCCCUUACUUAUGAUGCUUGUGCUUGAUUAUAUUUCUCUUUAUAGUAAAAUGUAAGCUCCAUUAGUGUUUAAAAAGUAUUUAUCUUUAUUUAAACAUUUUAAUCGAUACAUAAUAUUUGUAUAUAUUUGUACAAAUGUGUACAAAUAUUUAUGGGGCACAUGUGAUAUUUUGAUACAUCCAUACAACAUGUAAUGAUCAAGUCAGGGUAUUUAGGCAUGGGCAUUUUUGUGGAUUUUCAAAAUAGUCAUGGGACUGGGCAUGGUGGCUCAUAUCUGUGAUCCCAGCACUUCUGGAGACUGAGGUGGGAGAAUUGCUUGAGCCCAGGAGUUUGAGACUAGCCUGGGCAACAUAGAGAGACCUCACCUCUACUUAAAAUUUAAAAAUUAGCUGAGCAUGGUGGUGCACACCUGUAGUCCCAGCUACUCGGGAGGCUGAGGUGGGAGGAUCACUGGAGCCCAGGAGGUCGAGGCUGAGGUGAGUUGUAAUCAUACCACUGCCCCUCCAGACUGGAUGACACAGCAAGACCCUGUCUCAAUUAAAAACAAAAACAAAAAACAAAACUCCAACCCAAAACCAAAUGAAAGACAAAACAGUCGUGGGUUAAAUGAACACAUCAACUUCCCACUCCAAGUUGAGAGCUCCUUUUAUUACACCUAAAAGUUUUUCUGGACCAGGCAUGGUGGCUCACAUCUGAAAUCCCAGUACUUUGGGAGGCUGGGGUGGACGGAUCACUUGAGGUGAUGAGUUCGAGACCAGCCUGGCCAACAUGGUGAAACCCCACCUGUACUAAAAAUACAAAAUUAGCCUGGCAUGGUGGUGCAUGCCUGUAAUCCCAGCUACUUGGGAGGCUGAGGCAGGAGAAUCACUUGAAUCUGGGAGGUGGAGGUUGCAGUGAGCUGAGAUUGUGCCACUGCACUCUGGCCUGGGAGACAGAGUGAGACUCCGUCUCAAAUAAAAUUUUAAAAAUGUUUUUCUGAACACGACUUCCUGUGUCUUUUGAAUAGGGAUGGAUUACAUUAUCUCAGCCAACAUCUCAGGCCUUCUCAGAAGGUCAAGCACAGUAAUGGAUGUAAUAGCAUCAUGUCUAACAAAGUGUUAGGCCAGUGAACGUGAGGGUGCUGGCUGUUCUUCCUUUCCCUGAUCCCAGGGCUGGGCACCUCCCUGCUUUGCCUCCUGUUUGUCUAAUCAGUGUGUUCCCCUGGCUGGUUUUCAUCUCCUUUUCCAUAGCUUUCCCCUUCCCACGCCAGGGAUGCCACGUGGCUGCUCCAUCAUUUAUAGUGACGGCCAAAUAAUUGAAUUGUUAUUGGUUUGGAGCGGGGUGAGGGAGGGGGAGAGAUUUUUGCUAAAUUGUUUCACUUUAGAUAAUGUUCAUCUCCUGCUCUGUUGUGAUUUAUUUCUGCUGUUGGCAGUCUUGCUUUCUGGAAAUUAAUUCUCUGAUUGGAAUGGAAAGGAAAGUUGGUGGUGGCAGGGUGUGUGGUGUGGGGAUUCCUUUUGGACGUAAGAUCUGGAUGAAGAGCUGGUCUGAGUUUCUCUGGGAGUGGCUGGAGGGAGGAGAGAAUUUGGGUGUUGAGAAUCUCGGGGUGCCUAGUAUGUGCUCCUCACUUUAUUUGAGUGGCACAUUGUAUUAUAAUCUCUUGAAUCCGGUGGGCCUUAGGCUCCGGUCAUCUGCUGUUUAUAUGGGCACACUCACUUCCCAGAUCUCCUCUGGAAGACCCUCAUAUCCACAUUUUGCAGAUGGGAAAAUUGAGGCUCAGACUGAUGCAUGUCAUUGUACCAGGUAUCUACUGCUCUGUAACAAACCACCCCAAACUUAGUGGCCUAGGAACAACUGUUUUAUUAUGUUCACAGAUUCUGUGGGUCAGGCAUUUAGGAAUGAAACAGUGGGAAUAGCUUGUUUCUACUCUGUGAUGUCUGGGCCUCAGGUGGGAAGACUUGAAUGACUGGGCGUGUUUUGAAUAGCUCAGAGCCUGAGCCAUCUGAAGCCUCUUUUACUCAUAUGUCUGGAACUGAGGCUGGAUGACUCAAAGGCAGGCCUCAGCUGGGACAGUUGAUUGGAGGACCUCCACAUGGCCUCUUCUUGCAUCUUGGGAUUCUUCAAGUCAUGGUGACCAAAUUCUAAGACGUUCUUGAGAUUGAACACAAGAGAACAUGUGUUCUGGGAGAACCAAGUGGAAGCUGAAUGGUCUUUUUCGACCUGGCCUUAGAGUCAGGCAGCAUCACUUGCUAGAGCAGAAUGCAGGCCUAAAAUCUGACCAGAGAAUUCAGUGGAGACAGAGAGCAAGAGCACGUCUGGAGAAAAGUGCCCCACUCCCCAACCCUGCCAGAGGAUGCUUAUUGAAGAGGCCACACCAUGGGUUCCGAAACAAGGUCACUCAGUAAAAAAGAGCCCAGUGGAGGAUCCCUGGAGGAGCAAAUAGAAGAAACCCAAAAGGGACUUGAAAGCGGGUCCCCUCCCUCACCUGGAUUCCCAGUCCGAAGAGGAGGAAGCAUCCGCCCUCCUUCCCUCCUUCUGACCCACCCAGCCACCCACCCAAGGUGCCAUUAAAGUUAAUUG
Molecule: long non-coding RNA, 4388 nt
Filed under: Homo sapiens (human)
Lineage: Eukaryota; Metazoa; Chordata; Mammalia; Primates; Hominidae
Description: HSALNT0370650
Source: RNAcentral